This 76-nucleotide transfer RNA is filed under the name Gammaproteobacteria bacterium. RNAcentral describes it as "tRNA-Ala". It matches the Rfam family "tRNA". From Rfam's summary of the family: Transfer RNA (tRNA) molecules are approximately 80 nucleotides in length. Their secondary structure includes four short double-helical elements and three loops (D, anti-codon, and T loops). RNAcentral also lists the same sequence under 5 other names. Lineage: Bacteria; Pseudomonadati; Pseudomonadota; Gammaproteobacteria. The record is from RNAcentral.
GGGGCUAUAGCUCAGCUGGGAGAGCGCAACACUGGCAGUGUUGAGGUCGACGGUUCGAUCCCGUCUAGCUCCACCA